Delphinapterus leucas (beluga whale) is the source of this 1691-nucleotide non-coding RNA. The record is from RefSeq and is a predicted model, not a curated record. Lineage: Eukaryota; Metazoa; Chordata; Mammalia; Artiodactyla; Monodontidae.
GUAAAAGAUGUGGGGAGAGAAAUCUUGGGGGGCAGAGGGCAUGGGGAGAAAAAGUGGCCAGCAAAGACGACAGACAGCCUAUAUUAAUUAUCAACUUUGUGUUUUCUUUCCCCCGGGCUCAGAUGGAUAGCUCCCAGUUGAUCCACUGUCGGGAGCUUGUGGCACAUCACCUUUCUACUCUGCAGUCUUCCCUGCCUCUAAAUUCCGUUUAUGUCUACCGUCCCCUCAAGCACACCCUGGUGACCUGUGACAAAGGAGUGUUCAGAUUACAUCCCUCCUCUGCCCCAGGCCCAGAUUUCUCCAAGGACAACAGCAAACCAGAAGUGCCAGUCAGAGGUACAGCAGCCUUCUACCAUCAUCUCCCAGCUGCCAAUGGGUGCAAGCAUACCUCUGCUAAACGCAAAGUAGAGGAAAUGGAAGUGGACGACUUCUAUGAUGGGAUCAAACGGCUCUAUAAUGAAGAUAAUGCUUCAGAAAAUGUGGGUUCUGUGUGUGGCACUGAUUUAUCAAGGCAAGAGGGACAUACUUCCCCUUGUCCACCUUUGCAGCCUGUUUCUGUCAUGUAGCUCCAGGUGUUACCUUCAAGUGCAACCUAAGGUAGACUACUGUGGGAAUGGGGACAUGGAAAACAGGAUAGGCUGUAUAAAGGUAUAUACCUUACCAGGCUGAUUCGAAAUGAGCCAGAAAAAAAAAAAAACCUGUUGACUUGUAUGGCUAAUUAUAAUUCAACAUUAUUUAAGCACUUAAAGACCAAAAAAAGUGUAAAAUUCAAGAUCAAAAAAUUUUUAACUAAAAAAUUUCUUCGUAGUUUGUCGGUUCCACCCUUUUCUCUGCUAAAAUGUAAUGUAGAUUACCCUGUGUCAGAAAUUCACGUUCAGUGUUUUUUUUUUUUUAAAGUUCCAAAAUUCCUAGCUAGCAGACCUUGUCCCAGAAUCCUGAUUUAAUUUUCCUCUUGCUUUUGCUUGCUGCUGCUUUGAAUACUAAAUGAAUUUUAUGCAUGUUGACCUAUAGCCUGACUUCCACUGAUGAGGAAACCCUGAAAAUUUAUUUUUAGCAAUUUAGUGAACAAAUUAUUUCAGCGACAGCCAUGUUUAUAAUCCAUGAUUCAAAUUCAACUUAAUCUGAAAAAGGUACUUCAGAAUCGCCUGUGAAUCAGAGUUGGUAACAGAAGAAUUAUUCCCAUUACCAUGUUGAUUUUUGUUUGUCUCCUUUCAAUUUCUAGAGUUUGGAAACAAAAUUAAUAUUUUCAUUUUUAUCUUAAAUUGAAGCUUAAAAGCGGCAUGUGAUUAGGACACUCUUAAGAUUUGUUGGAAGCAUUUUUGACAUUUGUAUAAUAGAAUUUGUGAUAAAGUUAAUAUACCCAGGUGCUCACCAAAGAAACAUGUAACAACUAAAAUUAGAUUUUAAAAAAACUGUUCAGUUCACUCAUUUAUAAUCAGUAGGAGAGACUGUCUAGAUGUUGGGGCAGCUCUAUGAUUUGGGUCUGUAACAUGUAAUAACUGAAUUCAGUACCCUAGUUUUAUGUUAAGCUAUUAGGAUUUACUUGAUAAAAGUUAAUCCCCCUGCCUCCCCAGCCUACCUGUAUUCUCUUCAUGACUUCUGGGUCCUGAGCUCCCUGUGCAGCCUGAAGAAGGUACUGCAGUCAGAACCAUGUACUGAUUGGUAGCAAUAAAAGUUGUCCUUAACCUUUU